Homo sapiens (human) is the source of this 771-nucleotide long non-coding RNA. The record is from Ensembl. NCBI's taxonomy places the organism in Eukaryota, Metazoa, Chordata, Mammalia, Primates, Hominidae.
AGAAUCCUCAGCGCCUGAGCCCCCCGCCCCUUUUGUCUGCGUUAGUGAAGGAAUUGGCUCUUCGAGGGUGCGACUAAAGAAAGCCGUCGAGAGAACAGAUAGAUGUGAUCCAGACAAAUAUGUGAACAAGUGCUUGGAAACACAUAUUUCUGAACAAUUCCCUUUAUGACAAUUCCCUCAGAGUUGGAAGAGACAACAAUUGAUGACUAUAAUGCCAAUUAAGUAGAAUGGAUAUGAAUGUCUGAAAAUAAGCUGGAAAUUUUAAGGCCAAAAUUCUUCGAAAUACAAAGAAAAAACCUUUCUGAAGACAAAUAGCUGUAGAAGUUCUCCUCAAUGCAUACAAAUGAUAAUUCUUAAAACACAAUGACUGAAAGUAUUUAUUUGCAACAAAUUUAUUUGACCACUUAUUCAAGGGCUGCUCGUCCAAGAGCUAUAUUAAGGUCUAUUUACUUUAUCCCUACCAAAGGCGGUAUUUUUUGAGGAUAGAAACUACAUCUCAUGGAGUUUAUCACUCAGAGUGCCUACUUAGGAGACUGCUUGCAUACUGAAUGAAACGAAGGAAGAAUGAAUGAAUAAUUUGGGACCCCACCUCCCAACACACUUCCACAUAUCGAAAUGCACACGGAAUGAGGUACAUCUUCUAAGGAGAGUGGCAUUGAAGAGUAAUCAAAACAACAGGAUAUUCACAGGAGGACUGGAAUAAAACGAAAUUUCCAGUGAAAAAGAUUACUCAAAAUAUUUAUUCAAUACACUCUGAAAUUAGAAACUAAG